AUUGAACGCUGGCGGCAGGCCUAACACAUGCAAGUCGAGCGAGCGGCGGACGGGAGAGUAAUGUAUGGGGCUCUGCGCGAUAGAGGGGGAUAACUACUGGAAACGGUUGCUGAUACCGCCUACUAUCGGAUGAACCCAUAUGGGAUUAGCUAGUGGGGGGGGUAAAGGCCCACCAAGGCGACGAUCUCUAGCUGGUCUGAGAGGAGGAUCAGCCACACGGGAACUGAGACACGGUCCAGACUCCUACGGGAGGCAGCAGUGGGGAAUAUUGGACAAUGGGCGCAAGCCUGAUGCAGCCAUGCCGCGUGUAUGAAGAAGGCCUUCGGGUUGUAAAGUACUUUAAGCUGGGAGGCGUUACCCGCAGAAGAAGCACCGGCUAACUCCGUGCCAGCAGCCGCGGUAAUUC
RNAcentral lists this ribosomal RNA (406 nucleotides) under uncultured bacterium. Its description in RNAcentral is "partial 16S ribosomal RNA". It matches the Rfam family "Bacterial small subunit ribosomal RNA", at positions 30 to 526 of the family's 1533-position model. The record is from RNAcentral.